RNAcentral lists this ribosomal RNA (1227 nucleotides) under marine sediment metagenome. RNAcentral describes it as "bacterial LSU rRNA". It matches the Rfam family "Bacterial large subunit ribosomal RNA", at positions 1697 to 2925 of the family's 2925-position model. The record is from RNAcentral.
AACUAUUGUUAAGGAACUCGGCAAAAUGACCCCGUAACUUCGGGAGAAGGGGUGCCUGUAUAUCUACGGAUAUGCAGGCCGCAGUGAAUCGGCCCAAGCGACUGUUUAUCAAAAACACAGGUUUCUGCUAAAUCGCAAGAUGAAGUAUAGGAGCUGACGCCUGCCCGGUGCUGGAAGGUUAAGAGGACAUGUUAGCAUUAGCAAAGCAUAGAAUUUAAGCCCCAGUGAACGGCGGCCGUAACUAUAACGGUCCUAAGGUAGCGAAAUUCCUUGUCGGGUAAGUUCCGACCCGCAUGAAUGGCGUAACGACUUGGGCACUGUCUCAACAAUAGACCCGGUGAAAUUGAAGUAUACGUGAAGAUGCGUAUUACCCGCAACAGGACGGAAAGACCCCAUAGAGCUUUACUACAACUUGAUAUUGGAUUUCGGGCUUAAAUGUACAGGAUAGGUGGGAGACUUAGAAACUAGAGCGUCAGCUUUGGUGGAGUCAUCCUUGGGAUACCACCCUUUUAUGUCUGGAAUUCUAACGCUAUGCCAUUAUCUGGGUAGCGGACAGUGUCUGGUGGGUAGUUUGACUGGGGCGGUCGCCUCCGAAAGAGUAACGGAGGCGUCCAAAGGUUUCCUCAUAAUGGUUGGAAACCAUUAGAAGAGUAUAAAGGCAUAAGGAAGCUUGACUGCAACACCUACAAGUGGAGCAGGUACGAAAGUAGGGCUUAGUGAUCUGGCGGUAGAGCAUGGAAUUGCCGUCACUUAACGGAUAAAAGUUACCUUGGGGAUAACAGGCUGAUUCCUCCCAAGAGUCCAUAUCGACGGGGGAGUUUGGCACCUCGAUGUCGGCUCGUCAUAUCCUGGUGGAGUAGCAUCUACCAAGGGUUCGGCUGUUCGCCGAUUAAAAUGGCACGCGAGCUGGGUUCAGAACGUCGUGAGACAGUUCGGUCCCUAUCCAUUGCGGGCGUAGGAUAUUUGAGCAGAGCUUCCCCUAGUACGAGAGGACCGGGGUGGACGUACCAAUGGUGCACCAGUUGUCACGCCAGUGGCAUGGCUGGGUAGCGACGUACGGACAGGAUAAACGCUGAAAGCAUAUAAGCGUGAAGCCCCCUGCAAGAUUAGAUAUCCCAUAGCGUAAGCUAGUAAGAUCCCUUAUAGACGAUGAGGUUGAUAGGUCGGAGGUGUAAGUGCAGUAAUGUAUGUAGCUGACCGAUACUAAUAGAUCGAGGGCUUGAUCAC